Molecule: ribosomal RNA, 254 nt
Filed under: uncultured bacterium
Lineage: Bacteria
Description: partial 16S ribosomal RNA
Rfam family: Bacterial small subunit ribosomal RNA
Source: RNAcentral
UACGUAGGACCCAAGCGUUAUCCGGAUUGACUGGGCGUAAAGAGUUGCGUAGGUGGUUUGUUAAGCGAAUAGUGAAAUCUUGUGGCUCAACCAUGAGGCUAUUAUUCGAACUGGCAAACUCGAGAAUGGUAGAGGUAUCUGGAAUUCCCAGUGUAGGAGUGAAAUCCGUAGAUAUUGGGAGGAACACCGAUGGCGUAGGCAGGAUACUGGACCAUUUCUGACACUAAGGCACGAAAGCGUGGGGAUCAAACAGG